AGAAGUUGAAGCUAUGUCCACUCCAGGGGCAGACCAUUUUCUUCAAAGGGGGUAGGCGUUCCGUUUCUUUUGCUAGUCUUUCGUACAGGAAUGAGCUUGUGAAGCAAUUCAAACCAACAACUCAAGGUACAGAAAUAUGUUUAGGGAACAGAAACUGAUCCUGGGGUGGACCCAGUUCCCAUUCAAGAUGUGAAAGGGAAGUCUGCUGAGAGAAAUCAUGUGAUGGGGAAUGCCUGACUGUACCCUUUCUGCUGCCCACUACUGAACACAGGGCUCUGAGCUUACAGAGAUGAAUGCCCCCCUACCCUGUUCCUAAGGCAUUAACUCUAUGGAAUGGAUCACAGAAAAUACAUUAAAG
This is a long non-coding RNA of Nannospalax galili (Upper Galilee mountains blind mole rat), 358 nucleotides long. RefSeq lists it as uncharacterized. The record is from RefSeq and is a predicted model, not a curated record. The transcript has 3 exons. Lineage: Eukaryota; Metazoa; Chordata; Mammalia; Rodentia; Spalacidae.